GCGGAAGGAUCAUUACCGAGUGCGGGUCCUUUGGGCCCAACCUCCCAUCCGUGUCUAUUGUACCCUGUUGCUUCGGCGGGCCCGCCGCUUGUCGGCCGCCGGGGGGGGCGCCUCUGCCCCCCGGGCCCGUGCCCGCCGGAGACCCCAACACGAACACUGUCUGAAAGCGUGCAGUCUGAGUUGAUUGAAUGCAAUCAGUUAAAACUUUCAACAAUGGAUCUCUUGGUUCCGGCAUCGAUGAAGAACGCAGCGAAAUGCGAUAACUAAUGUGAAUUGCAGAAUUCAGUGAAUCAUCGAGUCUUUGAACGCACAUUGCGCCCCCUGGUAUUCCGGGGGGCAUGCCUGUCCGAGCGUCAUUGCUGCCCUCAAGCCCGGCUUGUGUGUUGGGUCGCCGUCCCCCUCUCCGGGGGGACGGGCCCGAAAGGCAGCGGCGGCACCGCGUCCGAUCCUCGAGCGUAUGGGGCUUUGUCACAUGCUCUGUAGGAUUGGCCGGCGCCUGCCGACGUUUUCCAACCAUUCUUUCCAGGUUGACCUCGGAUCAGGUAGGGAUACCCGCUGAACUUAAGCAUAUCAAUAAGCCGGGAGGAAAUCAUUACCGAGUGCGGGUCCUUUGGGCCCAACCUCCAUCCGUGUCUAUUGUACCCUGUUGCUUCGGCGGGCCGCCGCUUGUCGGCCGCCCGGGGUGGGCGCCUCUGCCCCCGGGCCUGGCCACGAGAAACCACACGAACACUGUCUGCAAAGCGGUCCGAGUCUGCAGCUUGGUCUUCUAAAAGCGAACACACGUCUCAAACACUAUUUGUACCGACUGGGGAAUUCUCUCUGAGUUUCCGGGCCAUCCAAUCGAAAAGAAAACG
This 854-nucleotide ribosomal RNA is filed under the name Aspergillus niger. Its description in RNAcentral is "eukaryotic LSU rRNA". The stretch from base 203 to 356 matches the Rfam family "5.8S ribosomal RNA". Lineage: Eukaryota; Fungi; Ascomycota; Eurotiomycetes; Eurotiales; Aspergillaceae. The record is from RNAcentral.